CGGUGAGGACAAGGUUCCUGGCGGUGUGGACAAGGUUCCUGCCGGUGAGGACAAGGUUCCUGGCAGUGAGGACAAAGUUUCUGUCGGUGAGGACAAGGGUCCUGUCGGUGAGGACAAGGUUCCUGGCGGUGUGGACAAGGUUCCUGGCGGUGAGGACAAGGUACCUGGCGGUGUGGACAAGGUUCCUGCCGGUGAGGACAAGGUUCUUUCCUGUGAGGACAAGGUUCCUGGUGGUGUGGACAAGGUUCCUGGCGGUGAGGACAAGGUUCCUGGCAGUGAGGACAAGGUUCCUGCCGGUGAGGACAAGGUUCCUGGCGGUGUGGACAAGGUACCUGCUAGUGAGAACAAGGUUCC
RNAcentral lists this long non-coding RNA (354 nucleotides) under Paramuricea clavata. The record is from RNAcentral. Lineage: Eukaryota; Metazoa; Cnidaria; Anthozoa; Malacalcyonacea; Plexauridae.